GACGAACGCUGGCGGCGUGCUUAACACAUGCAAGUCGAACGGAAGGGCCCCUUUGGGGGUACUCGAGUGGCGAACGGGUGAGUAACACGUGAGUAACCUGCCCUUGACUUCGGGAUAACUUCAGGAAACUGGGGCUAAUACCGGAUAGGAAUCCUUGCUGCAUGGUGGGGGUUGGAAAGCUUCGGCGGUUUUGGAUGGACUCGCGGCUUAUCAGCUUGUUGGUGGGGUAGUGGCUUACCAAGGCUUUGACGGGUAGCCGGCCUGAGAGGGCGACCGGCCACAUUGGGACUGAGAUACGGCCCAGACUCCUACGGGAGGCAGCAGUGGGGAAGAUUGCACAAUGGGCGGAAGCCUGAUGCAGCAACGCCGCGUGCGGGAUGACGGCCUUCGGGUUGUAAACCGCUUUCAGCAGGGGCGAAGCUUGUGGUGACGGUACCUGCAGAAGAAGCACCGGCUAACUACGUG
RNAcentral lists this ribosomal RNA (465 nucleotides) under uncultured bacterium. Its description in RNAcentral is "partial 16S ribosomal RNA". It matches the Rfam family "Bacterial small subunit ribosomal RNA", at positions 28 to 507 of the family's 1533-position model. The record is from RNAcentral.